Molecule: small nuclear RNA, 107 nt
Filed under: Spermophilus dauricus (Daurian ground squirrel)
Lineage: Eukaryota; Metazoa; Chordata; Mammalia; Rodentia; Sciuridae
Source: RNAcentral
AUGCUCACUUGGGCAGCACAUAUACCAAAAUUGGAAUGGCACAGAGAAGAUUAGCACGGCCCCUUCGCAAGGAUGACAAUCAAAUUCGUGAAGCAUUCCACAGUUUU